GGCUCAUCCAGAGGGGCAGAGGGAACGGCCCGGCGAAGCCCCGGCAACCACCCGCACGCUGUGCGUGCGCGGCAGGUGCUAAUUCCGACCUGUGGCAGGUUGCCGCGGGAAAGAUGAGGA
Molecule: non-coding RNA, 120 nt
Filed under: Frankia sp. AcoPraII.1
Lineage: Bacteria; Bacillati; Actinomycetota; Actinomycetes; Frankiales; Frankiaceae
Description: SAM
Rfam family: SAM riboswitch aptamer (S box leader)
About the family: The SAM riboswitch is found upstream of a number of genes which code for proteins involved in methionine or cysteine biosynthesis in Gram-positive bacteria. The SAM riboswitch acts at the level of transcription termination control.
Source: RNAcentral